AGAGUGUUACCGCACGUGCGUAGACGUGAGCUCAGCUACCACCAACGGGCCCUCAACGAGGGACCACUGGCCGGCCAUUUCUCAUACCCCCUCUCUCUUCGUGCUUCUUCCUCUUCUAUCUUGUCGAAUCGUUACCAGACAGAGCUGAAACGUCUUUACUUCUUUGCCCUGAGUUCGCUGGCCGCUUGAGGACUCGGCCUCUCUCUCCCCUCCAUUGAGCAGGGCCUCCUCGCUCGGUCAAGCCUCUCCUCUCCUCGCAGCUGUGUUGUUUGCUGUACAGUUGAUGCGCCUCUGCUAACUGCUGCUUUUCCUUGUCGAGUGCACAUAUCGCUUGUGUGUGUGUGCCUUCCUUUCAGCGUCUCUUUCGCUCUCGCCAUUGCUUGGGGGGGGGGGGGCUGUACUUGUGCCUGCUCCGUCCGUCUCUGUCUUUCGCUCGAAACACCUCUCGUUUCGCCGCCGGCCCGCAUUGCAGCCACGCCUCUGGCGACGGGCAAACAAUGAAGUUCAUCCCGCUGGACAGCUUCAGCGCGCUAAACUCCCUCUUGCAAGGGGUGGAGGCGCAGGGGUGCUGCAUCACCAUGCGUCUAGAGGCCUACACGUGUCGGCACACGAAAGAGGAGCGGCAGAUAGCAAACAGCAUAGCUUGCUAUCAAAACAACGUUCAACUCACGCCACCUAUUAGUCCCUUGCCCACUAUCGGCGCGUACGCCGGCUUUACUCAGGAGGCGCUGCCGCCGCUUGUACUGGGCGGAAGCGCCGAGAACGUGACCGCGAGUUACAGCCUCGUGAGCCCCAACGAGAUCGAUGACCGACUGGUGUACUUUGUGGCAGCUCUCAACACGGUAUACGAGAGCGACGGCUACGACUUUUCGGUUCUGCGGGAGAACGACUUUGUGCGUUACACAGAGCCGCAGUUCCGCACGGAGGUGUCGAGCACGCUACAGUCGUUGCCGGAGCAGUGCCGCCCGGCAGUUCAGCGCUUCUGGCCCACGAUCGAGGAAGUAGUGGAGAACGCGGAGAGUGGCUGCGAGUACUACGAGUUUCGAUGUCCCUCCUGCGACCCGCUCGCCGACACCACCGUCUACGCCCGCCACUACUUUGUGUACAACCGCAGAAAAAAGGUGCUUGUGCUGCUUGUGGAGUACGGCGAGAGCAACCCUUACCGAGGGGACGACGGACUGCCACACGCUGGCGACCCGACUUCAGCGUGGGACGCUGAGAGUCCCACGUAUGCCAGCACCCCCGACCCAGGCGAGGAAGGGGAGGCAUACGAUGGUGGCAAGAACAGGCAGUUCUACGGGUACUACUAGUGACUCAGUCUGUGGUGGAGGGUGGCGCAAAGUACAGCCCUGGACACGCGUGAAGCGUCCUUGCCGAAGCCCUUUCCCUCGGUGGUCGGGGCGUUGUUGUCUAUGCCUUCUGCCUUUGCGUCUCUCCACGUGGGCGCGUGCAUAUGUGCGCGGGUCGCACCAGGCCCCCCCCCUCAGUCUCUCUCUAUCCCCCCCUCCACUAU
This 1513-nucleotide unclassified non-coding RNA is filed under the name Leishmania donovani. Its description in RNAcentral is "gene:LdHU3.31.5080(CDS-product:Maf1_regulator_put ative)". The record is from RNAcentral. Lineage: Eukaryota; Euglenozoa; Kinetoplastea; Trypanosomatida; Trypanosomatidae.